Molecule: ribosomal RNA, 2901 nt
Filed under: Acinetobacter baumannii Naval-2
Lineage: Bacteria; Pseudomonadati; Pseudomonadota; Gammaproteobacteria; Moraxellales; Moraxellaceae
Description: bacterial LSU rRNA
Rfam family: Bacterial large subunit ribosomal RNA
Source: RNAcentral
AGUCAAGUAAUUAAGUGCAUGUGGUGGAUGCCUUGGCAGUCAGAGGCGAUGAAAGACGUGAUAGCCUGCGAAAAGCUCCGGGGAGGCGGCAAAUAUCCUUUGAUCCGGAGAUGUCUGAAUGGGGGAACCCACCUACUUUAAGGUAGGUAUUGCAACAUGAAUACAUAGUGUUGCAAGGCGAACGAGGGGAAGUGAAACAUCUCAGUACCCUUAGGAAAAGAAAUCAAUUGAGAUUCCCUCAGUAGCGGCGAGCGAACGGGGAUCAGCCCAUUAAGUUAUGUGUGUUUUAGUGGAACGCUCUGGGAAGUGCGAACGUAGAGGGUGAUAUUCCCGUACACGAAAGGGCACACAUAAUGAUGACGAGUAGGGCGAGGCACGUGAAACCUUGUCUGAAUAUGGGGGGACCAUCCUCCAAGGCUAAAUACUCCUGACUGACCGAUAGUGAACCAGUACCGUGAGGGAAAGGCGAAAAGAACCCCUGUGAGGGGAGUGAAAUAGAUCCUGAAACCGCAUGCAUACAAGCAGUGGGAGCACCUUCGUGGUGUGACUGCGUACCUUUUGUAUAAUGGGUCAGCGACUUAUAUUCAGUAGCGAGGUUAACCGUAUAGGGGAGCCGUAGAGAAAUCGAGUCUUAAUAGGGCGUUUAGUUGCUGGGUAUAGACCCGAAACCAGGCGAUCUAUCCAUGAGCAGGUUGAAGGUUGGGUAACACUAACUGGAGGACCGAACCCACUGUCGUUGAAAAGCCAGGGGAUGACUUGUGGAUAGGGGUGAAAGGCUAAUCAAGCCUGGUGAUAGCUGGUUCUCCCCGAAAGCUAUUUAGGUAGCGCCUCGGACGAAUACCAUAGGGGGUAGAGCACUGUUUCGGCUAGGGGGUCAUCCCGACUUACCAAACCGAUGCAAACUCCGAAUACCUAUGAGUACUAUCCGGGAGACAGACUGGGGUGCUAACGUCCGUAGUCAAGAGGAAAACAAUCCAGACCGCCAGCUAAGGCCCCAAAAUCAUAGUUAAGUGGGAAACGAUGUGGGAAGGCAUAGACAGCUAGGAGGUUGGCUUAGAAGCAGCCACCCUUUAAAGAAAGCGUAAUAGCUCACUAGUCGAGUCGGCCUGCGCGGAAGAUGUAACGGGGCUAAAACUAUGUGCCGAAGCUGCGGAUGUAUACUUUGUAUACGUGGUAGGGGAGCGUUCUGUAAGCCGAUGAAGGUGUGUUGAGAAGCAUGCUGGAGGUAUCAGAAGUGCGAAUGCUGACGUGAGUAACGACAAAACGGGUGAAAAACCCGUUCGCCGAAAGACCAAGGGUUCCAGUCCAACGUUAAUCGGGGCUGGGUGAGUCGACCCCUAAGGCGAGGCCGAAAGGCGUAGUCGAUGGGAAAAUGGUUAAUAUUCCAUUACUUCUGUGUAAUGCGAUGAGAGGACGGAGAAGGCUAAAUCAGCCUGGCGUUGGUUGUCCAGGUGAAAGGAUGUAGGCAUGUAUCUUAGGCAAAUCCGGGGUACUCUAUGCUGAGAUCUGAUAGCAAGCUGUACUUGUACAGCGAAGUGGUUGAUGCCAUGCUUCCAGGAAAAGUCUCUAAGCUUCAGUUACACAGGAAUCGUACCCGAAACCGACACAGGUGGUCAGGUCGAGUAGACCAAGGCGCUUGAGAGAACUCUGCUGAAGGAACUAGGCAAAAUGGUACCGUAACUUCGGGAGAAGGUACGCUGUUGUUGGUGAUGGAACUCGCUUCCUGAGCUGACGACAGCCGCAGAAACCAGGCCGCUGCAACUGUUUAUUAAAAACAUAGCACUCUGCAAACACGAAAGUGGACGUAUAGGGUGUGAUGCCUGCCCGGUGCUGGAAGGUUAAUUGAUGGGGUUAGCGUAAGCGAAGCUCUUGAUCGAAGCCCCAGUAAACGGCGGCCGUAACUAUAACGGUCCUAAGGUAGCGAAAUUCCUUGUCGGGUAAGUUCCGACCUGCACGAAUGGCAUAAUGAUGGCGGCGCUGUCUCCAGCAGAGGCUCAGUGAAAUCGAAAUCGCUGUGAAGAUGCAGUGUACCCGCGGCUAGACGGAAAGACCCCGUGAACCUUUACUGCAGCUUGACACUGAACUUUGACCUUACUUGUGUAGGAUAGGUGGGAGGCUUUGAAGCUGGAACGCUAGUUCCAGUGGAGCCGUCCUUGAAAUACCACCCUGGUAAUGUUGAGGUUCUAACUCUGUCCCGUGAUCCGGGACGAGGACCGUGUCUGGUGGGUAGUUUGACUGGGGCGGUCUCCUCCUAAAGAGUAACGGAGGAGUACGAAGGUGCGCUCAGCGUGGUCGGAAAUCACGCGUAGAGUAUAAAGGCAAAAGCGCGCUUAACUGCGAGACCCACAAGUCGAGCAGGUACGAAAGUAGGUCUUAGUGAUCCGGUGGUUCUGUAUGGAAGGGCCAUCGCUCAACGGAUAAAAGGUACUCUGGGGAUAACAGGCUGAUACCGCCCAAGAGUUCAUAUCGACGGCGGUGUUUGGCACCUCGAUGUCGGCUCAUCUCAUCCUGGGGCUGAAGCAGGUCCCAAGGGUAUGGCUGUUCGCCAUUUAAAGAGGUACGCGAGCUGGGUUUAGAACGUCGUGAGACAGUUCGGUCCCUAUCUACCGUGGGCGCUGGAAAUUUGAGAGGAUCUGCUCCUAGUACGAGAGGACCAGAGUGGACGAACCUCUGGUGUACCGGUUGUGACGCCAGUCGCAUCGCCGGGUAGCUAUGUUCGGAAGGGAUAACCGCUGAAAGCAUCUAAGCGGGAAGCCUACCUCAAGAUAAGAUUUCCCUAGGACUUUAUGUCCUCUAAAGAGCCGUUCGAGACUAGGACGUUGAUAGGUUGGAUGUGGAAGCAUAGUGAUAUGUGAAGCUGACCAAUACUAAUUGCUCGUGAGGCUUGACUAUACAACACCC